UACGUAGGGGGCAAGCGUUGUCCGGAAUCAUUGGGCGUAAAGAGCGUGUAGGCGGUUCGGUAAGUCGGCUGUGAAAGUCCAGGGCUCAACCCUGGGAUGCCGGUCGAUACUGCCGGACUAGAGUUCGGAAGAGGCGAGUGGAAUUCCCGGUGUAGCGGUGAAAUGCGCAGAUAUCGGGAGGAACACCUAGGGCGAAGGCAGCUCGCUGGGACGUUACUGACGCUGAGGCACGAAGGCCAGGGGAGCAAACGGG
Molecule: ribosomal RNA, 253 nt
Filed under: uncultured bacterium
Lineage: Bacteria
Description: partial 16S ribosomal RNA
Rfam family: Bacterial small subunit ribosomal RNA
Source: RNAcentral